Molecule: long non-coding RNA, 578 nt
Organism: Quercus lobata
Lineage: Eukaryota; Viridiplantae; Streptophyta; Magnoliopsida; Fagales; Fagaceae
Exons: 2
Source: RefSeq, a predicted model, not a curated record
GAAAGAGAAACUAUACCUCAGUGACUCAGUCCUUAGUUCAGAGUCUUUAGAUGUGAUCGGAUGAAUCAGAUCGGAGGGCCUAAGCCAGCAACAGAAGGAUUUAAGAUUAGGAUUUAGGACCAGUGGAGAGAAAGAAUGAGAGAGGCGGAGAGUAAGAGCUGAAAGAAAGAGGCAGAGAGCAAGAAUGAGAAAGAGAAACGGUCAUUCAUCCAUCUAAAGACCCAAAGGUGAAGAAGUUCCAUGAUGCCAAAUACCGUAUUUUCCGGGAGCUAUAUGAGCAGCAGCUAUCUCAUCGCUCUAUAAUGGCUCAAGCCUUGGCUUAGUUAAUGUGAUACUUGGCCAUGAUGUCAUCUGGACGCUUUGAUUAACUGAUUGCAUUGUGAUACUUUCUUUUGGAAAGAAAUGGAUGCACAGUUUGAAGGUUAGAUUGUGAAGAUUGCAAAUUCAAAUAGAAGAAAUUCAAUAAGAUUAACGUGUAUAGCCUUGAUUUUCAGCAUCACAUUGGAGAAAAAUAUCACGAAGAGAGUGGAAGAUAUAAGUCGAGCAAUGAUAAGGGAAUUAAAAUAUCAUUAAAAAAA